RNAcentral lists this long non-coding RNA (270 nucleotides) under Dunaliella salina. RNAcentral describes it as "long non-coding RNA (DSAL_LNC000314)". The record is from RNAcentral. Lineage: Eukaryota; Viridiplantae; Chlorophyta; Chlorophyceae; Chlamydomonadales; Dunaliellaceae.
GUCUGCAGGUAUAGGGGUCGUGGGCUGAUGUUUACGGAGCCGCAUCACUUUGUGAGCAUCCACAUUGCAAGAGUCAAUCAGGUCAACAAUUUCCUGAGCCUUUUAUUUUUGGUUAGCUCUCUUUCUCAUUCUGCAAUAUCGUGAGUAGGCGCGCUUGAGGUCUGCAACAGGUAAUCUCUGUUUGAUGAGACAUCGUAUGUCUGCUUUGUAAGCUCUGCAUGUUCCAUCAAACCAUGGCGCCAUGGGGAGGCCAAUUCUUGCUCUGCGUGG